UACGGAGGGUGCGAGCGUUGUCCGGAAUCAUUGGGCGUAAAGGGCGCGUAGGUGGCCCGGUAAGCGUGCGGUGAAAGCUUGGGGCUCAACCCCGAGUCGGCCGUGCGAACUGCUGGGCUUGAGCACUGUAGAGGCAGGCGGAAUUCCGGGUGUAGCGGUGGAAUGCGUAGAGAUCCGGAAGAACACCGGUGGCGAAGGCGGUCUGCUGGGCAGUUUCUGACACUGAGGCGCGACAGCGUGGGGAGCAAACAGG
This 253-nucleotide ribosomal RNA is filed under the name uncultured bacterium. RNAcentral's name for it is "partial 16S ribosomal RNA". It matches the Rfam family "Bacterial small subunit ribosomal RNA", at positions 524 to 776 of the family's 1533-position model. The record is from RNAcentral.